This 253-nucleotide ribosomal RNA is filed under the name uncultured bacterium. RNAcentral describes it as "partial 16S ribosomal RNA". It matches the Rfam family "Bacterial small subunit ribosomal RNA", at positions 524 to 776 of the family's 1533-position model. The record is from RNAcentral.
UACGGAGGGUGCAAGCGUUAUCCGGAUUCACUGGGUUUAAAGGGUGCGUAGGCGGGUAAGUAAGUCCGUGGUGAAAUCUCUGAGCUUAACUCAGAAACUGCCGUGGAUACUAUUUGCCUUGAAUAUUGUGGAGGUGAGCGGAAUAUGUCAUGUAGCGGUGAAAUGCUUAGAUAUGACAUAGAACACCGAUUGCGAAGGCAGCUCACAAAGCCACUAUUGACGCUGAGGCACGAAAGCGUGGGGAUCAAACAGG